This 252-nucleotide ribosomal RNA is filed under the name uncultured bacterium. RNAcentral describes it as "partial 16S ribosomal RNA". It matches the Rfam family "Bacterial small subunit ribosomal RNA", at positions 524 to 776 of the family's 1533-position model. The record is from RNAcentral.
UACGUAGGCAGCAAGCGUUGUUCGGAGUUACUGGGCGUAAAGGGUGCGUAGGCGGCUUCUUAAGUCUGGUGUGAAAUCUCCCGGCUCAACUGGGAGGGUGCGCCGGAUACUGAGGGGCUAGAGUGUGGGAGAGGAAAGUGGAAUUCCUGGUGUAGCGGUGAAAUGCGUAGAUAUCAGGAGGAACACCGGUGGUGUAAACGGCUUUCUGGACCAUAACUGACGCUGAGGCACGAAAGCGUGGUAGCAAACAGG